GAUGAACGCUGGCGGCGUGCUUAACACAUGCAAGUCGAACGAAGGGAUAGGAGCUUGCUCCUUGAACUUAGUGGCGGACGGGUGAGUAACGCGUGGGUAACCUGCCCUAUGCAGGGGGAUAACGUUUGGAAACGAACGCUAAUACCGCAUAAACUAUCGAUGACUGCAUGGUCAUUAUAGUAAAGAUUUAUCGGCAUAGGAUGGACCCGCGUUGGAUUAGCUAGUUGGUGAGAUAACAGCCCACCAAGGCGACGAUCCAUAGCCGGCCUGAGAGGGUGAACGGCCACAUUGGGACUGAGACACGGCCCAAACUCCUACGGGAGGCAGCAGUGGGGAAUAUUGCACAAUGGGCGCAAGCCUGAUGCAGCGACGCCGCGUGAAGGAAGAAGGUCUUCGGAUUGUAAACUUCUAUCAGCAGGGAAGAAUAAAUGACGGUACCUGACUAAGAAGCCCCGGCUAACUACGUGCCAGCCGCCGCAGUAA
This 483-nucleotide ribosomal RNA is filed under the name uncultured bacterium. RNAcentral's name for it is "partial 16S ribosomal RNA". It matches the Rfam family "Bacterial small subunit ribosomal RNA", at positions 28 to 523 of the family's 1533-position model. The record is from RNAcentral.